GACGAACGCUGGCGGCGUGCUUAACACAUGCAAGUGGAGCGACGAACCGGGGCUUGCCCCGGGGCAGAGCCGCGAACGGGUGAGUAACACGUGGGUAACCCACCCCGAUGACCGGGACAACCCGAGGAAACUCGGGCUAAUACCGGAUGUGCUCCUUGACCUCGAGGUCAAGGCGUAAAGAUAGCUUCGGCCUUCGCAUCGGGACGGGCCCGCGGCCCAUUAGCUUGUUGGUGGGGUAAAGGCCUACCAAGGCGACGANGGGUAGCUGGUCUGAGAGGACGAUCAGCCACACUGGGACUGAGACACGGCCCAGACUCCUACGGGAGGCAGCAGUGGGGAAUCUUGCGCAAUGCGCGAAAGCGUGACGCAGCAACGCCGCGUGGGGAAGACGGCCUUCGG
RNAcentral lists this ribosomal RNA (399 nucleotides) under uncultured bacterium. RNAcentral describes it as "bacterial SSU rRNA". It matches the Rfam family "Bacterial small subunit ribosomal RNA", at positions 28 to 421 of the family's 1533-position model. The record is from RNAcentral.